Molecule: ribosomal RNA, 253 nt
Filed under: uncultured bacterium
Lineage: Bacteria
Description: partial 16S ribosomal RNA
Rfam family: Bacterial small subunit ribosomal RNA
Source: RNAcentral
UACGGAGGGUGCAAGCGUUAUCCGGAUUUACUGGGUUUAAAGGGUGCGUAGGCGGGAUUGUAAGUCAGAGGUGAAAUUUUAUUGCUUAACGAUGACAUUGCCUUUGAUACUGCGGUUCUUGAAAUAUGUUGAGGUUGGCGGAAUGUGACAUGUAGCGGUGAAAUGCUUAGAUAUGUCAUAGAACACCGAUUGCGAAGGCAGCUGACUGGACAUUAUUUGACGCUGAGGCACGAAAGCGUGGGGAUCAAACAGG